Molecule: ribosomal RNA, 501 nt
Filed under: uncultured bacterium
Lineage: Bacteria
Description: partial 16S ribosomal RNA
Rfam family: Bacterial small subunit ribosomal RNA
Source: RNAcentral
AUUGAACGCUGGCGGCAUGCCUUACACAUGCAAGUCGAACGGUAGCAUAGGAGCUUGCUCCUGAUGGCGAGUGGCGAACGGGUGAGUAAUAUAUCGGAACGUGCCCUAGAGUGGGGGAUAACUAGUCGAAAGACUAGCUAAUACCGCAUACGAUCUAUGGAUGAAAGUGGGGGAUCGCAAGACCUCAUGCUCCUGGAGCGGCCGAUAUCUGAUUAGCUAGUUGGUGGGGUAAAAGCCUACCAAGGCAACGAUCAGUAGCUGGUCUGAGAGGACGACCAGCACACUGGGACUGAGACACGGCCCAGACUCCUACGGGAGGCAGCAGUGGGGAAUUUUGGACAAUGGGGGCAACCCUGAUCCAGCAAUGCCGCGUGAGUGAAGAAGGCCUUCGGGUUGUAAAGCUCUUUUGUCAGGGAAGAAACGGUAGUAGCGAAUAACUACUACUAAUGACGGUACCUGAAGAAUAAGCACCGGCUAACUACGUGCCAGCAGCCGCAGUAA